UACGGAGGGGGCUAGCGUUGUUCGGAAUUACUGGGCGUAAAGCGCGCGUAGGCGGACCUGCAAGUCGGGGGUGAAAGCCCGAGGCUCAACCUCGGAACUGCCUUCGAUACUGCGGGUCUCGAGUCCGGGAGAGGUGAGUGGAAUUCCUAGUGUAGAGGUGAAAUUCGUAGAUAUUAGGAAGAACACCAGUGGCGAAGGCGGCUCACUGGCCCGGUUCUGACGCUGAGGUGCGAAAGCGUGGGGAGCAAACAGG
This 253-nucleotide ribosomal RNA is filed under the name uncultured bacterium. RNAcentral describes it as "partial 16S ribosomal RNA". It matches the Rfam family "Bacterial small subunit ribosomal RNA", at positions 524 to 776 of the family's 1533-position model. The record is from RNAcentral.